RNAcentral lists this long non-coding RNA (1495 nucleotides) under Ananas comosus (pineapple). RNAcentral's name for it is "long non-coding RNA (ACOM_LNC012437)". Lineage: Eukaryota; Viridiplantae; Streptophyta; Magnoliopsida; Poales; Bromeliaceae. The record is from RNAcentral.
UGUGCUGGUAUGCUUAUAGAAGUACGGAGGCCUCCGUAUUUUCAAGUCGUUUUCGAUGUUCGGACUUUCGAAUCGACGAUCGGCUCCGUUAGAGUUGAUCUAGAGUAUUUGAAGUACCUAGAAAAUAAAUUUUGCGAUUUUUCGAUAUCAUUUGCCUAGUGAUCAAAACGGCUCAAAAUCAAUAAUUUUAACGGCCGUGGUGAGCCGGUUGCAUGUUUAACGGUGUAGAAAUAUCCAAAUCAGAUGAAAUUUUGAUAGAAAAUUCUUUAUACCAUAUAAAACAAGAUCAAUAACUUUGGUCUAAAAUUUUAAUGUUAUAUCAUCAUAUUUUGUAAGAUUUUUAUUUUCAGCCGUUGAUUUUGAGCCACCUCGAUCACUUGGCAAAUAAUAUCGAAAAAUCGUUAAAUUUAUUUUCUAGAUACUUCAAAUACUCUAAAUCAAAUCUAACGGAGUCGAUCGUCGAUUCGAAAGUCUGAACAUCGAAAACAAAGUGGAAGCACGGAGCCCUCCGUGCUUCCAUAAGCAUCCUAGCGGCACUCUCUCUCUCUCUCUCUCUCUCUCUCUCUCUCUCUCUCUCUCUCUCUCUCUCUCUCUCUCUCUCUCUCUCUCUCUCUCUCUCUCUCUCUCUCUCUCUCUCUCUCUCUCUCUCUCUCUCUCUCUCUCUCUCUCUCUCUCUCUCUCUAUAUAUAUAUAUAUAUAAUUGAGCUCCUAUAUUUUUAAAAGUAUCUAAGUCAUUAGUGCUCGUAAAUUUUUGGCUCUUGGAUUAAGAGAUGUACGGUUAGGAUAAUGUGGGCCCCCCUAGGGUUGAGUGGGUGGUUGGUUGAAUAGUAUAAUCUAACGGGUAAAAAUGAUCAAAGGCAGAGAUCUAACGGUAAAAAAUUUACAAGCACCAAAUUCUUGGUGAUUUUAUAAGCACCAUAACCGGACUAUAUAUAUAUAUAUAUAUAUAUAGCAGGACUGCUGUGCUCUCAGAAGCACGGAGGCUUCCGUGCUUCUGAGACGUUUUUGAUGAUUGAAUUUUCGAAUCGACGAUCGGUUCCGUUAGAUUUGAUCUAGCGUAUUUGAAGUUUUUAGAAAAUAAUUUUUAUGAUUUUUGAUAUCAUUUACCUAGCAAUCAAAAGGAUUCAAAAUUAAUACUUUUUAACGGCUGAAAAUAAAAAAUAUUAUAAAAAGUGGUGAUAUAGCACUAAAAUUUUCGAUCAGAAAUAUUGAUCUUGUUGUAGAUAGUAUAAAGAAUUUUGUAUCAAAAUUUCAUCUGAUUUGAAUACUUCUACACCGUUAAACUUGAAAACGGCAGAUAUCAACCAUUAAAAAUUAUUGAUUUUGAACCCUUUCGAUCACUAGGUAAAUGAUAUAAAAAAACCACAAAAAUUAUUUUCUAGAUACUUCAAAUACGCUAGAUCAAGUCUAACGGAGCCAAUUGUCGAUUCGAAAUUUCAUCAUCGAAAACGACUCAGGAGCACGGAGGCCUCCGUGCUCCUGAGAGCACAGCAGU